Molecule: ribosomal RNA, 98 nt
Organism: Cercocebus atys (sooty mangabey)
Lineage: Eukaryota; Metazoa; Chordata; Mammalia; Primates; Cercopithecidae
Source: Ensembl
AUAUAUGGCCAUACCACCCUGAUCUCCAAAGCUGUGGAGGGUCAGGUCUGACCAGUACUUGAAUGGGAGAUGGCCUGGGAAUUCUGGUUUCCUCUUUU